UACGUAGGGGGCAAGCGUUAUCCGGAAUUACUGGGUGUAAAGGGUGAGUAGGCGGCAUGGUAAGCCAGAUGUGAAAGCCUUGGGCUUAACCCGAGGAUUGCAUUUGGAACUAUCAAGCUAGAGUACAGGAGAGGAAAGCGGAAUUCCUAGUGUAGCGGUGAAAUGCGUAGAUAUUAGGAAGAACACCAGUGGCGAAGGCGGCUUUCUGGACUGAAACUGACGCUGAGGCUCGAAAGCGUGGGGAGCAAACAGG
Molecule: ribosomal RNA, 253 nt
Filed under: uncultured bacterium
Lineage: Bacteria
Description: partial 16S ribosomal RNA
Rfam family: Bacterial small subunit ribosomal RNA
Source: RNAcentral